GGACGGGAAGAACCCACCAGGGAUUACCUCAGUAACGGCGAGUGAAGCGGUAACAGCUCAAAUUUGAAAUCUGGCCCUUUUAGGGUCCGAGUUGUAAUUUGUAGAAGAUGCUUUGGGUGUGGCUCCGGUCUAAGUUCCUUGGAACAGGACGUCAUAGAGGGUGAGAAUCCCGUAUGUGACUGGCGGCCUUCGCCCGUGUAAAGCUCUUUCGACGAGUCGAGUUGUUUGGGAAUGCAGCUCUAAAUGGGAGGUAUAUUUCUUCUAAAGCUAAAUAUUGGCCAGAGACCGAUAGCGCACAAGUAGAGUGAUCGAAAGAUGAAAAGCACUUUGGAAAGAGAGUUAAACAGUACGUGAAAUUGUUGAAAGGGAAGCGCUUGCAACCAGACUUGCAUGCCGUCGAUCAUCGUGGGUUCUCCCGCGUGCACUCGGCGGCGUUCAGGCCAGCAUCGGUUCCGGUGGUUGGAUAAAGGCCUUGGGAAUGUGGCUCCUCUCGGGGAGUGUUAUAGCCCUCGGUGCAAUGCAGCCUACUGGGACCGAGGACCGCGCUUCGGCUAGGAUGCUGGCGUAAUGGUUGUAAGCGACCCGUCUUGAAACACGGACCAAGGAGUCUAACAUCUAUGCGAGUGUUAGGGUGUUAAACCCUUCCGCGAAAUUAACGUGAACGGAGGUACGAACCCUUUAGGGCGCAGUAUCGACCGGUCCUGAUGUCUUCGGAUGGAUCUGAGUAAGAGCAUAGCUGUUGGGACCCGAAAGAUGGUGAACUAUGCCUGAAUAGGGUGAAGCCAGAGGAAACUCUGGUGGAGGCUCGCAGCGGUUCUGACGUGCAAAUCGAUCGUCAAAUUAGGGCAUAGGGGCGAAAGACUAAUCGAACCAUCUAGUAGCUGGUUCUGC
RNAcentral lists this ribosomal RNA (891 nucleotides) under Dicephalospora rufocornea. Its description in RNAcentral is "partial large subunit ribosomal RNA". It matches the Rfam family "Eukaryotic large subunit ribosomal RNA", at positions 52 to 960 of the family's 3401-position model. Lineage: Eukaryota; Fungi; Ascomycota; Leotiomycetes; Helotiales; Helotiaceae. The record is from RNAcentral.